UACAGAGGUGGCAAGCGUUGUUCGGAAUUACUGGGCGUAAAGGGCGCGUAGGCGGCCCACUAAGUCAGACGUGAAAUCCCCCGGCUUAACCUGGGAACUGCGUCUGAUACUGGAGGGCUUGAGUAUGGGAGAGGGAUGUAGAAUUCCAGGUGUAGCGGUGAAAUGCGUAGAUAUUAUCAAGAACACCGAUUGCGAAGGCAGCUUACUAAGGAGUUACUGACACUGAGGCACGAAAGCGUGGGGAUCAAACAGG
Molecule: ribosomal RNA, 253 nt
Filed under: uncultured bacterium
Lineage: Bacteria
Description: partial 16S ribosomal RNA
Rfam family: Bacterial small subunit ribosomal RNA
Source: RNAcentral